UUAAGUUCAGCGGGUAUCCCUACCUGAUCCGAGGUCAAACUUUGUUAUGGAGGGUUUCACGGCCGGCACCGCCUGGGCUCAGGAGCGGGUUUGGUACUACGCUCAGAGUCCACGGCGCUCCGCCACUACGAUUCGGGGCUCUCGGUGCAGCACCGAGACGCCCCAACAGCAAGCCGGCGCUUGAGGUUUGAAAUGACGCU
This 200-nucleotide unclassified non-coding RNA is filed under the name Sordariales sp. RNAcentral describes it as "partial internal transcribed spacer 2". The record is from RNAcentral. Lineage: Eukaryota; Fungi; Ascomycota; Sordariomycetes; Sordariales.